AACAUAAUUGGUGGUAGAAAUGGAUGGUGAUGGUGUCGUUCUGUCAUAACUACAAAACUUUAUUUUUUGUCUCUGCUGCUUCCAACCUCCAAUCUCCAGCUCCAGCCAUUAGGAUAAAAGUACCACCUGUUUAAAGGCCUUACACUAUAAAUUCAACAAAAUUUAUGAGUGGGGGCAGUGCUGGGAUUACAGGCGUGAGCCACCGCACCUGGCCAGAACAUUCCAUUGUUAAAACAGCAUUCUGUGAAGGUCUGCAAAUCCAGCCACCAGAAUAUUGAUCUGAUGUCAGGUAGAACUCAUCCAGACUUGCAGAGGAGCCACUAUUCCUAAUCUCUGAAGGCAACAUGAAAGAUCAUGGGAGAUUGAAGAAGCAUAUACCAUGGAAUUAGAGCUUGCUAUAAUUUGCUCUGCAGUUAACUUCCACAUAAUUAUGUAUAACACAUUAUUAAUGAUUUGCAGUAGGGUACUGAUAUCAAGUUCCUAUUCUUCCUUGACUGUGGCACUGGUGAACCAAAUUCUUGCUCAAAGAUAGUUAUGAGAAUUGCCUGCUUUUCCUCCUGGCUCAAAUCUCUUCUUGCAAUUCUGUGUUUAUGCUGCCCUGUUCUUGUGCUGUGCUAGUCAGGGUUGGGGCAGCCAAGUUCUUGAAUGAAGAAUCUCAUUCUCACCCUUUCGAAGUUUUUUUAGAGUUUUUGCCAACUGCAUUGCUAAAGAGACAGCCUCUCAUCAAAGGAGUGUGCAGUAAGCCAAAUGUUUGUCCCUUGUUACUGAGAAAGGACUCCUCCUUCUCUUUUUAUUUACAUGCUUGUUCUGUUCUGUUCUCUUUCCCUCCAGUAGUCUGAUGCUGUGUUUUGUCUAUUCCUUGGCUGGAAAAAUGCUUCCUGGUUUUUUCCCCCCUUUUUCUUAAGAACGAAUGUUGGCCCCCUAUUUAUAGAACAUGCUCAACAGAGAAAAUUUGGAAAACACCAAAAAGCACAAGGGAAAAACUAUUCAUAAUCUUAGUACCCGGAAGUCACCACUAUUAUUAUUUUAGUAUGUUUGUAUUUAUCUAUUCAUUUACCUAUCUAAUCUUUCUAGGCAUUUUAAAAUUUAUUUUAUGAAAGAGCUAUCAUACCAUGCUUCCUAUUCUAUACUUUUUUUUUUUUUUGAGACGGAAUCUCACUCUGUUGCCCAGGCUGGAGUGUAGUGGUGCAAUCUCAGCUCACUGCAACCUCUGCCUCGGGGGUUCAAACGAUUCUCUGGCCUCAGCCUCCCAGGGAUUGCAGGUGUGUGCCACCACGCCCAGCUAAUUUUUGUAUUUUUUAGUAGAGAUGAGGUUUCACCAUGUUGGCCAGGCUGGUCUUGAACUCCUAACCUCAGGUGAUGCGCCAACCUUGGCCUCCCAAAGUGCUGGAAUUACAGGUGUGAGCCACCGUGCCCAGCAUGUUGUAUACAUUUUCAAAUUUGGCAAUAUGUUAAGUUCAUCUUUCCAUAUUUUGAUGUCAAGAACAUUUUCUGCAACACUAUUUUAUUAAGCUUAAUAGAUUUUAUUAGCUCAGUUUUAUAAAUGUAGAUUAUUUUUAUUUUUCUAUCAUAUAAUAUUGCAGUGAGUAUGAUUGUACAGACACCGUUGCACUCAUUUGACAUUUCUUCAGUAUAAAUUCCUAGAAGUGAAAUCAUACGGUCAAAGGGUGUGCACAUUUUAAGACUUUCGAUGACAUUGCCACAAUGCCCUUCUUGAAGGUGGUACUAGAUUGCUUUCCCAUCAACAAUCAAGGGUCCAUUUCUCAGUAUUAUGGCCAAGACUGGGCACUUAACUUUUAAAAAUUUUUGUCGAUUUGAUAGGUAUUAAGUAGUAUCUCAGAGUUUAAUAUGGCAUUUCUUUGCUUAUGAGUCUGAAUAUAUCUACAUGCGUUUCAUGGUCAGAUAUACUUUUUGGUGAUUUGCUUCUUUAAGUUGUUGUGCUUUGUCUAUUUUGUUUGUCUUUUUCUUAUUUUGUUGUGUUGAUAGAUAAACUCCACUAACUCCCUGACAACAUGGCAGAAGUGGUUAUCAGCCUGGACCCACACUACCUGGGCCCAAAUCCUACUAUACCCUUAAGAGGUGUGACCCUGGGUACGUUACUUAGCCUCUAUCAGUGCAUAAACACAAGAAAAAAA
This 2135-nucleotide long non-coding RNA is filed under the name Macaca fascicularis (crab-eating macaque). Its description in RNAcentral is "lncRNA (ENSMFAG00000064651.1)". Lineage: Eukaryota; Metazoa; Chordata; Mammalia; Primates; Cercopithecidae. The record is from RNAcentral.